RNAcentral lists this unclassified non-coding RNA (216 nucleotides) under Hevea brasiliensis (rubber tree). The record is from RNAcentral. Lineage: Eukaryota; Viridiplantae; Streptophyta; Magnoliopsida; Malpighiales; Euphorbiaceae.
GCGUUGCACUGAUUGAGGCCGUCGAGAGCGGAGGCGAAGGGGUGGAAGCCAUGGAGCUUGACGACCUUGCCGAAGCGCUCAAGUUCGAGGACGGAGUUGCGGACGGCGUCGGUGUCCUGGCCGAUCUCAUCGAGGCCAUGGGCGUGGAAGAGGGCGUAGCCCGAGGCCGACUCGAACAGGAGGUAGAGAGACAUCGCCGCCAGUGAGGAUUUGGGG